RNAcentral lists this long non-coding RNA (1293 nucleotides) under Gopherus agassizii (Agassiz's desert tortoise). RNAcentral describes it as "lncRNA (ENSGAGG00000023210.1)". Lineage: Eukaryota; Metazoa; Chordata; Testudines; Testudinidae. The record is from RNAcentral.
UACCAAGUGGUUAAUGUUUGUUGAUUGCAGCACCAUGCUCUGCUCUCAGUGCAGCUUUUGGAUGCAGUGUGGCGCUUCUCGGUCUCCAGGGAACUCGUGGCAUUUUGCCCAGAUGGCAUCAGCCUGUGUCUGAAGGACACAGCCCGGCGCCUACCGAUCUCCGCAGCGGGAGCCUUAGCGACAGGUGAUGCGGGGGCUCUGCUUCUGUCUCUGUUUGGGGUGGGGGGGAGCUCCUGCAAAUGCCAGGCAUCACCCUUUAAUCUAGGUGAAUGAUCCUGUACCUGGCUGUAGCCUGGGAUUCCUUUGUGUGGCGGAGAGCCAGCUGGGUGGGCUGGAUCCAGUCGCUCCGGCAGGGGAGUGUGCUCACUUGGCUCCUUCUUCUUCGACCAGCUGUGCAGGUCAAAGAAGAGUCAUCCUCCUUUAAGUGCCAAGAAGAGGCCUUCUACCUUCUGGUGCAAGAAGACAUUGAACACAGCAAUAUAUUGCACCCGUUCACUCUACUAGCAAGACAGGCUGUAUUCCAGCAGAUGUCUGAGGACAAUUGGGGGUCAAAAUAUAUGUGACUGUCAGCUUGCUCGCUAGUCCAGGUGAGUCAGAUUUUUGACAGGUACAAAAAUAGCUUUAAUUUUUUCAUUAGUACCAAUGAUGAGGUUAAAAGCCAAAUGAAAAGACUUUGCAGCUGGGCUGGUAAAUGUUCAUGACAGUUUUGCAAGAGGUUUUUCCCUUCACAAACAAAACCACCACCUAGCUGCCUUCAUUCUCUUUUCUCACAAUCUUCUAUGAUAGCACAGUUGAAACUCUGCUUAUUUCCAUGUUAACAGUAGAAGAGUUUAGAAAAAAAAUUAACUCCUGAAUAGCAUUGAAGGCAUGUACAAGAAUAAUUAAUUGUUUCCUUGAACAGUAACUGUUCAAACUACUAGGCUAGUUUGAAGUAAUGCUUCAGAGCUAAAUGCAGGAACUGCUGAUAAGCAACCUUACGGGUGACAGGGUUGUUAUGCACCAAAGUACUCCAGCAGUGGUGCAGGACAGCAUGUAUAGUAGGCUAAUAUAUCUGAACAUAUGAGAAAAAAAAAGAUUGGUUUGUAGAGAUGUAACUAGAGGUAUGUUACAUCCUCACUAUUAGUCUGUCCGGCACAGCACUAAGCCCUUUUCACUUUAGCUGUUUUGGGUAAAAACCUAUUAUCUAUUCUAUUUAUUAUAUUCGCCACUGGCAAUAUUGUGUCUAUGUCCUUGUGUGGUGUUACUGAUCAGAUAUUGAAACCUUACUAAUCUUUUACACUAACUAAACACAAG